This 72-nucleotide transfer RNA is filed under the name Stegodyphus mimosarum. It matches the Rfam family "tRNA". Rfam says of the family: Transfer RNA (tRNA) molecules are approximately 80 nucleotides in length. Their secondary structure includes four short double-helical elements and three loops (D, anti-codon, and T loops). Lineage: Eukaryota; Metazoa; Arthropoda; Arachnida; Araneae; Eresidae. The record is from Rfam by way of RNAcentral.
GCCUUCGUGGUGUAGUGGUCAGCACGCUCGGCAUGUAUUCGAGAGGCCGUGGUUUGAUUCCCAAUGAGGGCA